UUCAAGUAAUCCAGGAUAGGCUGUUACCAGGCAACACGGCCUAUUCUUGAUUACUUGUUUC
RNAcentral lists this microRNA precursor (61 nucleotides) under Python bivittatus (Burmese python). RNAcentral's name for it is "Pbv-Mir-26-P4_pre stem-loop". It matches the Rfam family "mir-26 microRNA precursor family", at positions 12 to 70 of the family's 81-position model. Rfam says of the family: The hairpin precursors (represented here) are predicted based on base pairing and cross-species conservation -- their extents are not known. In this case the mature sequence is excised from the 5' arm of the hairpin. The record is from RNAcentral. Lineage: Eukaryota; Metazoa; Chordata; Lepidosauria; Squamata; Pythonidae.